Molecule: ribosomal RNA, 765 nt
Filed under: uncultured archaeon
Lineage: Archaea
Description: bacterial SSU rRNA
Rfam family: Archaeal small subunit ribosomal RNA
Source: RNAcentral
CGGUUGAUCCUGCCGGAGGUCACUGCUAUUGGGAUUCGACUAAGCCAUGCGAGUCGAGAGGGUUCGGCCCUCGGCAAACGGCUCAGUAACACGCGGAUAAUCUGCCCUUAGGUGGAGGAUAACCUCGGGAAACUGAGAAUAAUACUCCAUAGAUCUAGGAUGCUGGAAUGCACUUAGAUUGAAAGUUCCGGCGCCUAAGGAUGAGUCUGCGGACUAUCAGGUAGUAGUCAGGGUAAAGGCCUGACUAGCCUACGACGGAUACGGGUUGUGAGAGCAAUAACCCGGAGACGAUAUCUGAGACACGAUAUCGGGCCCUACGGGGCGCAGCAGGCGCGAAACCUUCACAAUGUGCGAAAGCGCGAUGAGGGGAUCCCAAGUGCUUGCUCGUAAGAGUAAGCUGUUUUUAUGUCUAAAACGCAUAGAGAGUAAGGGCUGGGUAAGACGGGUGCCAGCCGCCGCGGUAAUACCUGCAGCUCAAGUGGUGACCGCUAUUAUUGGGCCUAAAACAUUCGUAGCCGGUUUGGUAAAUGCCUGGGUAAAUCGUGUAGCUUAACCACACGAAUUCCGGGUAGACUGCCAAACUUGAGACCGGGAGAAGCUAGAGGUACUCCUUGGGUAGAGGUGAAAUUCUGUAAUCCUAGGGGGACCACCAGUGGCGGAGGCGUCUAGCUAGAACGGGUUUGACGGUGAGGAAUGAAGCCCUGGGGCGCAAACCGGAUUAGAUACCCGGGUAGUCCAGGGUGUAAACGCUGCUUGCUUGAUGUU